UAGGGAAUCUUCCACAAUGGGCGCAAGUCUGAUGGAGCAACGCCGCGUGAGUGAAGAAGGUCUUCGGAUCGUAAAGCUCUGUUGUAAGAGAAGAACGUGUGUGAGAGUGGAAAAUUCACACAGUGACGGUAACUUACCAGAAAGGGACGGCUAACUACGUGCCAG
RNAcentral lists this ribosomal RNA (165 nucleotides) under uncultured bacterium. Its description in RNAcentral is "partial 16S rRNA". It matches the Rfam family "Bacterial small subunit ribosomal RNA", at positions 355 to 511 of the family's 1533-position model. The record is from RNAcentral.